UUGAAGUUUCACACAAGCUCCAACAGUUGGGUUGGAUUCCUGAGCUUAUUUUGUCCAGUGAUGCAGUGCGAACAAAGGAAACACUUAAAACUAUGCAAGAGCAAGUGAGAGGAUUUUUGGAAGCUGAGGGACGAGAUACUUACAGUUAUGUGAGUUCUGCUGACUGUAACAGCUUGUUUGGAGUUCCAUUUAAUAGGUG
Molecule: non-coding RNA, 199 nt
Organism: Camellia sinensis
Lineage: Eukaryota; Viridiplantae; Streptophyta; Magnoliopsida; Ericales; Theaceae
Source: RefSeq, a predicted model, not a curated record